Molecule: transfer RNA, 77 nt
Filed under: Acholeplasmataceae bacterium
Lineage: Bacteria; Bacillati; Mycoplasmatota; Mollicutes; Acholeplasmatales; Acholeplasmataceae
Also listed under: 2 other names
Description: tRNA-Arg
Rfam family: tRNA
About the family: Transfer RNA (tRNA) molecules are approximately 80 nucleotides in length. Their secondary structure includes four short double-helical elements and three loops (D, anti-codon, and T loops).
Source: RNAcentral
GGCCCUGUAGCUCAGCUGGAUAGAGCAACGGCCUUCUAAGCCGUGUGUCGAGCGUUCGAGUCGCCCCAGGGUCACCA